Molecule: long non-coding RNA, 761 nt
Organism: Elaeis guineensis (African oil palm)
Lineage: Eukaryota; Viridiplantae; Streptophyta; Magnoliopsida; Arecales; Arecaceae
Source: RefSeq, a predicted model, not a curated record
UGCGUCAUUUGUUUCCAGAAGUCGCCCCAGAACCGGUCAUGAUUUUUCUUUCGUCACCUCGCGGGAGAAAGCGAGACGGAGUCCGAGAGGCGUGCGUCCUUCGCCACUCGAGACCACCAGAAAAAGAAACACAGCCGCCGCCGGAAACUGACGAUGCGAUCGCCCCGCUGCAAGCUCUUGCUAUCCGCCGGCGAGGCGGAGCUCCGUCGAGGUGGCGGCGGAGGCGGAGGGAGUCCCGCGUCGUUCUACGAGAUCACUCUCGAUUACCAUGAGCGGAUGUCCCGAGCCCAUCUCGGAUCUCGGCGGUGGAUCCACUCCUCUCUUCUUCCCGAAUGGACGCCGCUUCUCGACCCACCGUUGACAACGGAACCGGGGUUUCUACCAAGAACAAAGUCACAAUCCAAGAAUCACAUCAAACAGAAAGGAAAAGAAAAGAAAUAUGACCCAAGAAUCAGAUGAUGCGAAAGUGAUCAUCAUUGGAAUAUCAUGCGACUAAGAAGGAGGAGGGCAAGGACAUAUAACUGAAGCUGCAUCUUCCACAUCUGCUUUUCCUUUUCCCUGAAAUCUGCCUCCAUGAUGCAUGCCUUCAAAUAUUAUUUUGUAUGACUAUACUUACUCUUCUUUUUGCAGUACAUACUGUUGUUGGUGUCUACAAUGAAUCGCUAGUUGCAAUUGAAUUGAAAUGCUGACAAUGAUGAUGCAACUCCGUUACAAUCUUUUAUAAUAUGAAGUGGCUCAUGUAUGAAAAAAGGAAUACAUAU